UCCUUGAUGGCUCAGAUGGUAAAGAAUCUGCCUGCAAUGUAGAAGACCCGGGUUUGAUCCCUGGGUUGGGAA
RNAcentral lists this transfer RNA (72 nucleotides) under Bos taurus (domestic cattle). It matches the Rfam family "tRNA". From Rfam's summary of the family: Transfer RNA (tRNA) molecules are approximately 80 nucleotides in length. Their secondary structure includes four short double-helical elements and three loops (D, anti-codon, and T loops). Further hydrogen bonds mediate the characteristic L-shaped molecular structure. tRNAs have two regions of fundamental functional importance: the anti-codon, which is responsible for specific mRNA codon recognition, and the 3' end, to which the tRNAs corresponding amino acid is attached (by aminoacyl-tRNA synthetases). tRNAs cope with the degeneracy of the genetic code in two manners: having more than one tRNA (with a specific anti-codon) for a particular amino acid; and 'wobble' base-pairing, i.e. permitting non-standard base-pairing at the 3rd anti-codon position. The record is from Rfam by way of RNAcentral. RNAcentral also lists the same sequence under 4 other names. Lineage: Eukaryota; Metazoa; Chordata; Mammalia; Artiodactyla; Bovidae.